AGAGUUUGAUCCUGGCUCAGGACGAACGCUGGCGGCGCGCCUAACACAUGCAAGUCGAACGAGCGAGAGAGAGCUUGCUUUCUCGAGCGAGUGGCGAACGGGUGAGUAACGCGUGAGGAACCUGCCUCAAAGAGGGGGACAACAGUUGGAAACGACUGCUAAUACCGCAUAAGCCCACAGCUCGGCAUCGAGCAGAGGGAAAAGGAGCAAUCCGCUUUGAGAUGGCCUCGCGUCCGAUUAGCUAGUUGGUGAGGUAAUGGCCCACCAAGGCGACGAUCGGUAGCCGGACUGAGAGGUUGAACGGCCACAUUGGGACUGAGACACGGCCCAGACUCCUACGGGAGGCAGCAGUGGGGAAUAUUGCACAAUGGGGGAAACCCUGAUGCAGCGACGCCGCGUGGAGGAAGAAGGUCUUCGGAUUGUAAACUCCUGUUGUUGAGGAAGAUAAUGACGGUACUCAACAAGGAAGUGACGGCUAACUACGUGCCAGCAGCCGCGGUAAAACGUAGGUCACAAGCGUUGUCCGGAAUUACUGGGUGUAAAGGGAGCGCAGGCGGGAAGACAAGUUGGAAGUGAAAUCUAUGGGCUCAACCCAUAAACUGCUUUCAAACUGUUUUUCUUGAGUAGUGCAGAGUAGCGGAAUUCCCGGUGUAGCGGUGGAAUGCGUAGAUAUCGGGAGGAACACCAGUGGCGAAGGCGGCCUACUGGGCACCAACUGACGCUGAGGCUCGAAAGUGUGGGUAGCAAACAGGAUUAGAUACCCUGGUAGUCCACACCGUAAACGAUGAUUACUAGGUGUUGGAGGAUUGACCCCUUCAGUGCCGCAGUUAACACAAUAAGUAAUCCACCUGGGGAGUACGACCGCAAGGUUGAAACUCAAAGGAAUUGACGGGGGCCCGCACAAGCAGUGGAGUAUGUGGUUUAAUUCGACGCAACGCGAAGAACCUUACCAAGUCUUGACAUCCCUUGACGAACAUAGAAAUAUGUUUUCUCUUCGGAGCAAGGAGACAGGUGGUGCAUGGUUGUCGUCAGCUCGUGUCGUGAGAUGUUGGGUUAAGUCCCGCAACGAGCGCAACCCUUACUGUCAGUUACUACGCAAGAGGACUCUGGCAGGACUGCCGUUGACAAAACGGAGGAAGGUGGGGAUGACGUCAAAUCAUCAUGCCCUUUAUGACUUGGGCUACACACGUACUACAAUGGCGUUAAACAAAGAGAAGCAAGACCGCGAGGUGGAGCAAAACUCAGAAACAACGUCCCAGUUCGGACUGCAGGCUGAAAUUCGCCUGGACGAAGUCGGAAUUGCUAGUAAUCGUGGAUCAGCAUGCCACGGUGAAUACGUUCC
This 1342-nucleotide ribosomal RNA is filed under the name uncultured bacterium. Its description in RNAcentral is "16S ribosomal RNA". It matches the Rfam family "Bacterial small subunit ribosomal RNA", at positions 8 to 1374 of the family's 1533-position model. The record is from RNAcentral.